Molecule: long non-coding RNA, 1802 nt
Organism: Seriola aureovittata
Lineage: Eukaryota; Metazoa; Chordata; Actinopteri; Carangiformes; Carangidae
Exons: 3
Source: RefSeq, a predicted model, not a curated record
GCUCGUCUGUCCAGCCUUCAGCAGCUGAUAGCGCACUUUGCUCUGACUGCAAACUCUCUCUCCCUCCCUCUCCCUCUCUCUCUCCCCUUCCCUCUCUGUCUGUCUCCUCUCUCUCUCUCUCUCUCUCUCUCUCCCUGACGUCGCAGUUCCUGUAUGUUGUGCACUCAGCGCUUUGGCAACAGCUCCGUCUCUGUGGGUGGUACCGUGUGAGGAGAGCCUACUGUACGCCGGCCCGGCCACAAUGCACCGCUCCACCGGGGAAAUGAGGCUUCAGGGAGCCGUGAGGAGAAGCCUGGCCGCGCUCACUAACGCAUCUACGCUCGGCCGGCUCGCUCGCGCGCACGCACUCUCACACACACACGCGCGCUCUUCUUUCUUUAAACCUACGGUGUAGGCGAAACUCCUCAACUCAUCUAACCUAAUCCUGCCUCUAACCAUAACCCUGAGUCCAGAUCAGCUUUUAAAACAACUUGAAAUUUAUAUUGUUCAUUUAAUAGACUUCCUGUUCAUAUUUAUUGCAUAACAAAAGUUUACAGUAACUUUACAGCUAACUUAAUCCUUACUAAAAUGAAAUCCUUUUCUCAAACCUUAUAUUUAACUUAUGACUUCUGUAAAUUUGUCUUAUUGCAUAUCUAUGCAGUACAAUGGAGAAUGGAGAGGACAGAAUUGUCCCUACCAAUAUUUGAGUGAACUCUUUCUCCCUAUGUUUGGAGUGAAGUCAUAUUAGAUCCUGUGGGCCCGGCUCUAAGCGUGGGCACGGGGGACAAUGUCCCACCAAAUCGUCCUGCUUUAAGCCAAAAUUCAAAAAAUAUCUUGAAAAGUAUUUUUAUGUUUUUUUUAAACCGACAACCGAUAAGCUAAAUUAAUUAAAAAUAUCAACUUUUGCUUUGAUUCAGGUAGCCUACCUGUCUCUGGUCUGUACUCAACACUCUGUGGUCUGGAGCAGUGUCCCGCCCACAGCACGAUCUGAUUGGUUAUACGUCACGAGUAACAGCCUAUCACGCUAAAGGCUGCGGUGUAUACGGAAGGACACAGGCUGAGCAGCGGCGGUAACGAGCGGAGCGUGUAUCCAAGCAGCAGAACAGAGAAGAAGAGCAGGCUGAUGAGGAAACAGGUGCAUCUUCAGGGUUUUAGUCAACAGCACUUUAGUAAUGCACUUCCAUAAAGUUGGUGGACCCGCAAGAGAUUAAAAGUCAAGGAAGCAACAGACGCCGAUAUAUCCAACUCAAUGGCAUCUUGCAUUGCCUGCCUUCUCUUAAACACACCUGCAAGCUUCUUGGCCCAAACCCAAGCUGAGGUAACCCUGAUGACAUCAUCAGGGUCCUUUCCAAACACUGGAAAGCUCCUCGCAGAGUCACAGAAGACAUUACACAACUGGUUUCACAAACCGUGCGUUAAAAUGUCAUCACUCUGUAGUGUACAGACAGGUGACAAAUUAAAGGCAAAAAGCAAACACAAAUAAAUCAGAUGCUGCCAUACAGGACAUCAGGCAUCACUGAAUAUUUUGAUGAUGAGUAAGGAAAUGAUUUGACUCAUGCACUGUGGAUUUCACAAUCACCAAGUGAACACCUAUGAGGUAUUUUGGAUCCACCACCAUCAUCAAGACACCAAAUGAGGGAAUAUCUCCUGGAAGAGUCCUUGUCCUGGAGAAUCUAAGACCAGGACCCUUUAAACUGUCCAGGUGUAACGACACUUGACGGAGACACUUCGACCAUUGGGACUGUACAUACAAUGUGACCAGCAGAGACGAUCUGAUGUGUGUGUGUGUGUGUGUGUGUGUGUGUGUGUGUGUGUGUGUGUGU